UAAUACAUGCAAGUCGAGCGAACCACUUCGGUGGUGAGCGGCGAACGGGUGAGUAACACGUAGGUGAUCUGCCCAUCAGACGGGGACAACGAUUGGAAACGAUCGCUAAUACCGGAUAGGACGAAAGUUUAAAGGUGCUUCUGGCACCGCUGAUGGAUGAGCCUGCGGCGCAUUAGCUAGUUGGUAGGGUAAAGGCCUACCAAGGCGACGAUGCGUAGCCGACCUGAGAGGGUGAACGGCCACACUGGGACUGAGACACGGCCCAGACUCC
Molecule: ribosomal RNA, 271 nt
Filed under: uncultured Turicibacter sp.
Lineage: Bacteria; Bacillati; Bacillota; Erysipelotrichia; Erysipelotrichales; Turicibacteraceae
Description: partial 16S ribosomal RNA
Rfam family: Bacterial small subunit ribosomal RNA
Source: RNAcentral